RNAcentral lists this ribosomal RNA (404 nucleotides) under uncultured bacterium. RNAcentral's name for it is "partial 16S ribosomal RNA". It matches the Rfam family "Bacterial small subunit ribosomal RNA", at positions 30 to 526 of the family's 1533-position model. The record is from RNAcentral.
AUUGAACGCUGGCGGCAGGCCUAACACAUGCAAGUCGAACGAGCGGGAGAGGGGUGAGAAAUGCCUGGAAAUUGCCCAGUCGAGGGGGAAAACAGUUAAACACUACUGCUAAUACCUCAUAAGCGUGUCUUGCCCAGGUGGGAUUAGCUAGUGGGUGAGGUAAGGGCUCACCAAGGCGACGAUCCCUAGCUGGUCUGAGAGGAUGAUCAGCCACACUGGAACUGAGACACGGUCCAGACUCCUACGGGAGGCAGCAGUGGGGAAUAUUGCACAAUGGGGGAAACCCUGAUGCAGCCAUGCCGCGUGUGUGAAGAAGGCCUUCGGGUUGUAAAGCACUUUCAGCGAGGAGGCGUUACUCGCAGAAGAAGCACCGGCUAACUCCGUGCCAGCAGCCGCGGUAAUAC